RNAcentral lists this non-coding RNA (55 nucleotides) under Propionibacterium sp. The record is from RNAcentral. Lineage: Bacteria; Bacillati; Actinomycetota; Actinomycetes; Propionibacteriales; Propionibacteriaceae.
CCGGGUGCGAUUCCCGGGCUGACCCGCAACCGUGACUGGGAGACCAGGAGCCGGA